This 183-nucleotide ribosomal RNA is filed under the name Bacillus amyloliquefaciens. RNAcentral's name for it is "partial 16S ribosomal RNA". It matches the Rfam family "Bacterial small subunit ribosomal RNA", at positions 1354 to 1533 of the family's 1533-position model. The record is from RNAcentral. Lineage: Bacteria; Bacillati; Bacillota; Bacilli; Caryophanales; Bacillaceae.
AUGCCGCGGUGAAUACGUUCCCGGGCCUUGUACACACCGCCCGUCACACCACGAGAGUUUGUAAUACCCGAAGUCGGUGAGGUAACCUUUUUGGAGCCAGCCGCCGAAGGUGGGACAGAUGAUUGGGGUGAAGUCGUAACAAGGUAGCCGUAUCGGAAGGUGCGGCUGGAUCACCUCCUUUCU